RNAcentral lists this ribosomal RNA (492 nucleotides) under uncultured bacterium. Its description in RNAcentral is "partial 16S ribosomal RNA". It matches the Rfam family "Bacterial small subunit ribosomal RNA", at positions 29 to 507 of the family's 1533-position model. The record is from RNAcentral.
AGUGAACGCUGGCGGUAGGCCUAACACAUGCAAGUCGAACGGCAGCACAGUAAGAGCUUGCUCUUACGGGUGGCGAGUGGCGGACGGGUGAGGAAUACAUCGGAAUCUACUUUUUCGUGGGGGAUAACGUAGGGAAACUUACGCUAAUACCGCAUACGACCUACGGGUGAAAGCAGGGGAUCUUCGGACCUUGCGCGAUUGAAUGAGCCGAUGUCGGAUUAGCUAGUUGGCGGGGUAAAGGCCCACCAAGGCGACGAUCCGUAGCUGGUCUGAGAGGAUGAUCAGCCACACUGGAACUGAGACACGGUCCAGACUCCUACGGGAGGCAGCAGUGGGGAAUAUUGGGCAAUGGGCGCAAGCCUGAUCCAGCCAUACCGCGUGGGUGAAGAAGGCCUUCGGGUUGUAAAGUCCUUUUGUUGGGAAAGAAAAGCAGCAGGUUAAUACCCCGCUGUUCUGACGGUACCCAAAGAAUAAGCACCGGCUAACUUCGUG